GACGAGUCUCACGAACGUUAUUCGGAAUUACUGGGCUUAAAGGGUGCGUAGGCGGUGGAGUAAGUCGGAUGUGAAAUACCAUAGCUUAACUAUGGAACUGCACUCGAUACUACUUUGCUAGAGUAAGACAGAGGUGAGUGGAACUGAGGGUGGAGCGGUGAAAUGCGUUGAUAUCCUCAGGAACACCGGUGGCGAAGGCGGUCUGCUGGGCCAAGACUGACGCUGAGGCGCGACAGCGUGGGGAGCAAACAGG
RNAcentral lists this ribosomal RNA (253 nucleotides) under uncultured bacterium. RNAcentral describes it as "partial 16S ribosomal RNA". It matches the Rfam family "Bacterial small subunit ribosomal RNA", at positions 524 to 776 of the family's 1533-position model. The record is from RNAcentral.